GCGGCUAUCGUCUAGUGGUUUAGGAUCUCACCUUCCCAUACGCCAUUGUGGCGGGCGGCAGCUCGGAAGUAGGUGAGGACAGGAGUUCGAACCUCCUUAGUCGCA
Non-coding RNA from Malassezia psittaci, 105 nucleotides. Lineage: Eukaryota; Fungi; Basidiomycota; Malasseziomycetes; Malasseziales; Malasseziaceae. The record is from the annotation of a GenBank genome assembly.